AAUAGAUACCCGGGUAGUCCACGCCGUAAACGUUGGAUACUAGGUGUGGCGGUCUUACCAACGACUGCCGUGCCGAAGCUAACGCAUUAAGUAUCCCGCCUGGGGAGUACGGCCGCAAGGCUAAAACUCAAAGGAAUUGACGGGUCCCCGCACAAGCGGCGGAGCAUGCGGCUUAAUUCGAUGCAACCCGAAGAACCUUACCUGGGUUUGACAUCACGGGAAAAGCUGUAGAAAUACAGUGUUCAUUAGGGCCCGUGACAGGUGGUGCAUGGCUGUCGUCAGCUCGUGUCGUGAGAUGUUGGGUUAAGUCCCGCAACGAGCGCAACCCUUGUCCUAUGUUGCCAGCGGUUCGGCCGGGGACUCAUAGGAGACUGCCGGGGAUAACUCGGAGGAAGGUGAGGACGACGUCAAGUCAUCAUGCCCCUUAUAUCCAGGGCUGCACGCAUGCUACAAUGGCCGGUACAACGGGCAGCGAUCCCGCGAGGGUGAGCGAAUCCUAAAAAGCCGGUCCUAGUUCGGAUUGAAGUCUGCAACUCGACUUCA
This 543-nucleotide ribosomal RNA is filed under the name uncultured bacterium. RNAcentral's name for it is "bacterial SSU rRNA". It matches the Rfam family "Bacterial small subunit ribosomal RNA", at positions 777 to 1320 of the family's 1533-position model. The record is from RNAcentral.